RNAcentral lists this ribosomal RNA (427 nucleotides) under uncultured bacterium. Its description in RNAcentral is "partial 16S ribosomal RNA". It matches the Rfam family "Bacterial small subunit ribosomal RNA", at positions 355 to 774 of the family's 1533-position model. The record is from RNAcentral.
UGGGGAAUAUUGGACAAUGGGCGAAAGCCUGAUCCAGCCAUGCCGCGUGUGUGAAGAAGGUCUUCGGAUUGUAAAGCACUUUAAGUUGGGAGGAAGGGCAUUAACCUAAUACGUUAGUGUUUUGACGUUACCGACAGAAUAAGCACCGGCUUACUCUGUGCCAGCAGCCGCGGUAAUACAGAGGGUGCAAGCGUUAAUCGGAAUUACUGGGCGUAAAGCGCGCGUAGGUGGUUUGUUAAGUUGGAUGUGAAAUCCCCGGGCUCAACCUGGGAACUGCAUUCAAAACUGACUGACUAGAGUAUGGUAGAGGGUGGUGGAAUUUCCUGUGUAGCGGUGAAAUGCGUAGAUAUAGGAAGGAACACCAGUGGCGAAGGCGACCACCUGGACUAAUACUGACACUGAGGUGCGAAAGCGUGGGGAGCAAACA